GCUUGCUGGUGUGGAUGAGUGGCGAACGGGUGAGUAAUACGUGAGUAACCUGCCCUUGACUCUGGGAUAAGCCCGGGAAACUGGGUCUAAUACUGGAUGCUACAUGUCACCGCAUGGUGGUGUGUGGAAAGGGUUUACUGGUCUUGGAUGGGCUCACGGCCUAUCAGCUUGUUGGUGAGGUAAUGGCUCACCAAGGCGACGACGGGUAGCCGGCCUGAGAGGGUGACCGGCCACACUGGGACUGAGACACGGCCCAGACUCCUACGGGAGGCAGCAGUGGGGAAUAUUGCACAAUGGGCGAAAGCCUGAUGCAGCGACGCCGCGUGAGGGAUGACGGCCUUCGGGUUGUAAACCUCUUUCAGCAGGGAAGAAGCCACAAGUGACGGUACCUGCAGAAGAAGCGCCGGCUAACUACGUGCCAGCAGCCGCGGUAAUACGUAGGGCGCAAGCGUUGUCCGGAAUUAUUGGGCGUAAAGAGCUCGUAGGCGGUUUGUCGCGUCUGCUGUGAAAGCCCGGGGCUUAACCCCGGGUGUGCAGUGGGUACGGGCAGACUAGAGUGCAGUAGGGGAGACUGGAAUUCC
Molecule: ribosomal RNA, 581 nt
Filed under: actinobacterium TH-S55
Lineage: Bacteria; Bacillati; Actinomycetota; Actinomycetes
Description: bacterial SSU rRNA
Rfam family: Bacterial small subunit ribosomal RNA
Source: RNAcentral